UCUGCAGAGCUUCAUGUUGUUACAGUAAAGGGCAGUUACAUCGAAGGCCUCUUGCUCCUUGCAUUUCUUCCUGUCACUCGAUGCAGGAGACACUUCCUGUUGGCUAAGAAGGGCCCUCACAAGACUGCAAGAGCUGCAUCAGGCAAUGAGUGUUCUAGAGAGAAGUGGGACCCCACCGGGGCCACUAGAAGAGGGGGCUCUCUCUUCCCAUAUACUUUGUAGUCAAACCCAGGGGUUAACUCUAGAGAUUAUCUAGAAAGGGGGAAGGGGUUGACUGAACCAUAUAGAGAGAGCCAGGGGGCAAGACUAGUGGCAGAGAAAGGAUAAGAAUAUGGGGCUUUUUCUAAUCAACAUUUUUUUUAAUUGCAAGGCAUUAUGUGGUUUACAACUUGGCCAUUUCCCAACCAAUAUCCACCCUCCCCAUACCCACCCACAAGCCAUCCUUUCCUGCCCCAAACCCAUAUUCUCCCCCGCCAUGUCUAUUGUAGGGAACAGAGAAAAGGUGGGAGAAGUAGAGGAAAGAACAAGAAGGAAGAUGGAGAAGACAGGCAGAAGAAAGGAAUAAAAGGAAAGGAAACACAUAUCUUUGUAUCAGAUACGGCGAAGGCCGAGAAAGACCCCGUCUGAAACCUUGAGAAGCUGCUGCCGGACUCAAAAUAAACUAUGAAAUCCCAUCUUCAGCCAACGUGCCAAAUAAAGUUCCUCAGCAUAAUUUUCAACUCAACUCUGGCAGAGAUCCACCUUCCCCCAGACUGUACCGGUCUCAUCAGGGAACUCUUCAUGCUUCUUCACAAGUCUCCACUUCAUUCUGCAAAAGAAAUCCAGUGAUUGUUAGGUGUCAUGGCGUCCGUGAUGGCAGUUCGGCCCACCGCCCGCUUGUACAUGCAGCCUCCACAGAGGUGGUUUCUAGAUUUUUUCAACCCUCAAUGGGAUUCCCAAACCAGGAUGCUAAAUAUACUGUUUAGUGUUGACAAGACCAUGGGCUGGUGAAUCUCCAUGACCCACCUGCCACAAUCCACCCCUUUCCUGCAGCCCGGCCCACGCACCCGGAAGCAGUGUGUCACAUACAUUACUUGGAGCUUUUGGCCGUGUUCAAGGCUAUAAAAGGUUUCCAUCCAGACAUUAUAGGAUGUCA
Hemicordylus capensis (graceful crag lizard) is the source of this 1135-nucleotide long non-coding RNA. RefSeq lists it as uncharacterized. The record is from RefSeq and is a predicted model, not a curated record. Lineage: Eukaryota; Metazoa; Chordata; Lepidosauria; Squamata; Cordylidae. The transcript has 3 exons.